GAGGCGCUGAAAGGUUUCCCUAAUAGUUCCUGGUGAAUCAAAGCAGAACCAUAAAGGUUGCUGGACUGCAUGAUGGCCUUACCCCUGAGCAGUCAUCCUGUUAAAGGAGGAACCAGUUAGAAGCUGUUUUCAAAGUAGCUGAGCAGAUUUCAUCUCAACAGACAAAGCCAAUGGCAGAAGAUGUUUGGAGAAGAACUUCAGGCCGUGUACUGACAAGAUCAAAGCAGCUCGUGCUCUUUCUGCUUCCAUUUUGAUGGCAAGAAGAAGAAGAAGAAGAAGACUUCAGCGAAGUGGCGUUCAUGGUCUCAGUGGACAGUCAUGGUCACAUACUGCAUGUGGUUUUAAAAGCAACAUGUCUGUUCACCACAACAAUCGAGAUGUGUAAUAUUAGUGCAGCUACAGUUUGUUCUUGAACA
This is a long non-coding RNA of Pelmatolapia mariae (spotted tilapia), 416 nucleotides long. RefSeq lists it as uncharacterized. The record is from RefSeq and is a predicted model, not a curated record. NCBI's taxonomy places the organism in Eukaryota, Metazoa, Chordata, Actinopteri, Cichliformes, Cichlidae. The transcript has 3 exons.